Molecule: ribosomal RNA, 497 nt
Filed under: uncultured bacterium
Lineage: Bacteria
Description: partial 16S ribosomal RNA
Rfam family: Bacterial small subunit ribosomal RNA
Source: RNAcentral
GAUGAACGCUGGCGGCGUGCCUAAUACAUGCAAGUCGAGCGAACGGACGAGAAGCUUGCUUCUCUGAUGUUAGCGGCGGACGGGGGAGUAACACGUGGAUAACCUACCUAUAAGACUGGGAUAACUUCGGGAAACCGGAGCUAAUACCGGAUAAUAUUUUGAACCGCAUGGUUCAAAAGUGAAAGACGGUCUUGCUGUCACUUAUAGAUGGAUCCGCGCUGCAUUAGCUAGUUGGUAAGGUAACGGCUUACCAAGGCAACGAUGCAUAGCCGACCUGAGAGGGUGAUCGGCCACACUGGAACUGAGACACGGUCCAGACUCCUACGGGAGGCAGCAGUAGGGAAUCUUCCGCAAUGGGCGAAAGCCUGACGGAGCAACGCCGCGUGAGUGAUGAAGGUCUUCGGAUCGUAAAACUCUGUUAUUAGGGAAGAACAUAUGUGUAAGUUACUGUGCACAUCUUGACGGUACCUAAUCAGAAAGCCACGGCUAACUACGUG